UGGGGAAUCUUGGACAAUGGGGGCAACCCUGAUCCAGCCAUGCCGCGUGAGUGAUGAAGGCCUUAGGGUCGUAAAGCUCUUUCGCCUGUGAAGAUAAUGACGGUAGCAGGUAAAGAAACCCCGGCUAACUCCGUGCCAGCAGCCGCGGUAAUACGGAGGGGGUUAGCGUUGUUCGGAAUUACUGGGCGUAAAGCGCACGUAGGCGGACCAGAAAGUUGGGGGUGAAAUCCCGGGGCUCAACCCCGGAACUGCCUCCAAAACUAUUGGUCUAGAGUUCGAGAGAGGUGAGUGGAAUUCCAAGUGUAGAGGUGAAAUUCGUAGAUAUUUGGAGGAACACCAGUGGCGAAGGCGGCUCACUGGCUCGAUACUGACGCUGAGGUGCGAAAGUGUGGGGAGCAAAACAGGAUUAGAUACCCUGGUAGUCCCACACCGUAAAACGAUGAAUGCCAGUCGUCGGGUAGCAUGCUAUUCGGUGACACACCUAACGGAUUAAGCAUUCCGCCUGGGGAGUACGGUCGCAAGAUU
This 525-nucleotide ribosomal RNA is filed under the name uncultured bacterium. RNAcentral's name for it is "bacterial SSU rRNA". It matches the Rfam family "Bacterial small subunit ribosomal RNA", at positions 355 to 895 of the family's 1533-position model. The record is from RNAcentral.